GACGAACGCUGGCGGCAUGCUUAACACAUGCAAGUCGAACGGAAAGGCCCUGCUUUUGUGGGGUGCUCGAGUGGCGAACGGGUGAGUAACACGUGAGUAACCUGCCCUUGACUUUGGGAUAACUUCAGGAAACUGGGGCUAAUACCGGAUAGGAGCUCCUGCUGCAUGGUGGGGGUUGGAAAGUUUCGGCGGUUGGGGAUGGACUCGCGGCUUAUCAGCUUGUUGGUGGGGUAGUGGCUUACCAAGGCUUUGACGGGUAGCCGGCCUGAGAGGGUGACCGGCCACAUUGGGACUGAGAUACGGCCCAGACUCCUACGGGAGGCAGCAGUGGGGAAUAUUGCGCAAUGGGCGGAAGCCUGAUGCAGCAACGCCGCGUGCGUGAUGACGGCCUUCGGGUUGUAAACCGCUUUCGCCUGUGACGAAGCGUGAGUGACGGUAAUGGGUAAAGAAGCACCGGCUAACUACGUG
This 468-nucleotide ribosomal RNA is filed under the name uncultured bacterium. RNAcentral's name for it is "partial 16S ribosomal RNA". It matches the Rfam family "Bacterial small subunit ribosomal RNA", at positions 28 to 507 of the family's 1533-position model. The record is from RNAcentral.